UACGGAGGAUGCAAGCGUUAUCCGGAUUCAAUGGGUUUAAAGGGUGCGUAGGCGGACUAUUAAGUCAGUGGUGAAAGCCUGCAGCUUAACUGCAGAACUGCCAUUGAUACUGAUAGUCUUGAGUUUGGUUAAGGUAGGCGGAAUGUGUAAUGUAGCGGUGAAAUGCUCAGAUAUUACACAGAACACCAAUUGCGUAGGCAGCUUACUGAGCCGACACUGACGCUGAGGCACGAAAGCGUGGGGAGUCGAA
Molecule: ribosomal RNA, 250 nt
Filed under: uncultured prokaryote
Description: partial 16S ribosomal RNA
Rfam family: Bacterial small subunit ribosomal RNA
Source: RNAcentral